RNAcentral lists this ribosomal RNA (498 nucleotides) under uncultured bacterium. RNAcentral describes it as "partial 16S ribosomal RNA". It matches the Rfam family "Bacterial small subunit ribosomal RNA", at positions 28 to 507 of the family's 1533-position model. The record is from RNAcentral.
GACGAACGCUGGCGGCGUGCCUAAUACAUGCAAGUCGAACGAGAGCGACCGGUGCUUGCACUGGUCAAUCUAGUGGCGAACGGGUGAGUAACACGUGGGUAACCUGCCCAUCAGAGGGGGAUAACAUCCGGAAACGGAUGCUAAAACCGCAUAGGUCUUCGAGCCGCAUGGCUUGAAGAGGAAAAGAGGCGCAAGCUUCUGCUGAUGGAUGGACCCGCGGUGCAUUAGCUAGUUGGUGAGGUAACGGCUCACCAAGGCCGUGAUGCAUAGCCGACCUGAGAGGGUGAUCGGCCACAGUGGGACUGAGACACGGCCCAAACUCCUACGGGAGGCAGCAGUAGGGAAUCUUCCGCAAUGGACGCAAGUCUGACGGAGCAACGCCGCGUGAGUGAAGAAGGUUUUCGGAUCGUAAAACUCUGUUGUUAGAGAAGAACAAGUGCUAGAGUAACUGUUAGCGCCUUGACGGUAUCUAACCAGAAAGCCACGGCUAACUACGUG